AUUGAACGCUGGCGGCAUGCCUAACACAUGCAAGUCGAACGGUAACAGGCAGCAACUUGCUUCUUUGCUGCCGAGUGGCGGAUGGUUGAGUAAUGUCUGGGCAACUGCCUGAUGGAGGGGGAUAACUACUGGAAACGGUAGCCAAUACCGCAUAACGUCGCAAGACCAAAGAGGGGGACCUUCGGGCCUCUUGCCAUCGGAUGUGCCCAGAUGGGAUUAGGUAGUAGGUGGGGUAACGGCUCACCUAGCCGACGAUCCGUAGCUGGUCUGAGAGGAUGACCAGCCACACUGGAACUGAGACACGGUCCAGACUCCUACGGGAGGCAGCAGUGGGGAAUAUUGGACAAUGGGCGCAAGCCUGAUGCAGCCAUGCCGCGUGUAGGAAGAAGGCCUUCGGGUUGUAAAGUACUUUCAGCGGGGAGGAAGGGAGUAAAGUUAAUACCUGUGCUCAUUGACGUUACCCGAAGAAGAAGCACCGGCUAACUCCGUG
This 490-nucleotide ribosomal RNA is filed under the name uncultured bacterium. Its description in RNAcentral is "partial 16S ribosomal RNA". It matches the Rfam family "Bacterial small subunit ribosomal RNA", at positions 30 to 507 of the family's 1533-position model. The record is from RNAcentral.